Molecule: non-coding RNA, 1981 nt
Organism: Spodoptera litura
Lineage: Eukaryota; Metazoa; Arthropoda; Insecta; Lepidoptera; Noctuidae
Source: RefSeq, a predicted model, not a curated record
GUUCAAGGUCAAAUCGCUGCUUUAUACAAACAGACAAUGAUCGAAAAAAACAUUUACAAAAAAUGUAAACUCCCUAUUACCAGCAUUGAUAUUAAUAAAUAUAUAUUCACAAAAAAAGACUAUAUAUCCAGAAUACCAUACCCUAUUAUAACUUAAGCGUUAAGUUUACGAAUGACUCAAUGAUAAAAACUUUAUUAUUGUUUUCUAAUUGAUUAAAUUGAAAAUAUGCCUCGUCUAGAAGUGUAUCUGUUAUAUCUGUGCGUGUUUUUACUGUCUAGUAACUUGCUAGGCCCUGAAGCUCUGAAGAAAAAGCGAAAAAUUACAACUGAAAGUGAUGAUGACUUGGACACAAAAAAUACAGAUACUAUGUACAGUACUAUACAGAUAUUUGAAGAGUACAUUGAUGCUCUUAGAAAUAGUAGCGAUGUUCCCGAAGACUGGGGAAAUAAUAAGGAUAAUAAUUUGGAUAAAGUGGAGUACUAUCUUAAAUUGUUGAAGAAAGGCCUUCUAAGGCAUAUAUUGACAGCAACAUGUAAAACCGAAGGGGACAUUAAGAAAUUUAAUGAAGUUCUUCAAGAUAUUAUGGAUAGUCUGCCACCACUGGUUCAGGAAAAGGAGCAUGAACUACCAUCCGAGUUAAAAGAAGCCAAAGAACUGUAUGAAGCAGCAUUGCUGACACUGCUUAGACAGACUCCCGAGUUUUACAGACUCGUGUUUAAAGUUCGGCUACCUAAUGACACUAUGGACUAUAUCCUGGGUAAGAUGAAGUUAGUCUGGUCAUAUCUGACCGGCAAAGGCUAUGAAUGGGAAUUAGAAAAGAUUAAGGCCGAUCUUCACAGAGCUAUGCUUCAACUGAAAAAGGCUGCCGACACAGGCUACGCCCCCGCUAAGAUCAAGCUGGCCUGGUCCUACCUGUUUGGAGAAAACAUAGAAAUGGACUUCGAAAGGGCUAAGAACAUAUUUGAGGAGAUGGCUGCUGAAGGAAACGCUGACGCUCAUGCUGGCAUGGGCUUCCUAUACGCGACCGGUAUAGCAGUCCCGGUGUCUCAGGCCAAAGCGCUAGUACACUACAUGAUGGGAGCGCUUGCGGACAGCGAUUUCGCACAGAUGGCGCUGGCGUACCGAUACUGGAGCGGUAACACUGUGCCCAGCUCUUGUCCCAAGGCCAUGGACUUGUAUAUGAGGGUAGCAGACAAGGUGGCCAGUAACAUGGAAGGCGCCGGUCCAGGCAACAUUGACCCCGAGCGCGACGGUUUCGAAUCUACCAAUAUCACAGAGUACUACCAGCAGCUCGCUGAGAAAAAAAUUAGAGAGAAACAGGCACAGCCAGAUUACGAACGUGAUCUGCGGUACUUCGAGGAAGCUGCAAAAUUCGACAAUCCAGUCGCACAGGUUGGGUUGGGUGUUAUGUAUCUAAAGGGUCGUGGCGUUCCGAAGGAUCCAAAAACAGCGUUUAAAUAUUUCACGAUGGCGGCCAACCAAGGAUGGGCAGAGGGACAGCUGCAACUUGGUAUUAUGUACUUGACACUUCAUGAACGUGUCGAAGCGAGGUCCGUGGGCCACUCGUAUACUGGACGCGCACAACAGUGGGUACCCGCGGGGCGUGGACUCCGAGGUACUGCAGCGCCUGUGGCUGGCUGAACUAGGAUACAGCUCCCAACAGUGGACAGCGGCCGUCAUGCUCGAGACAAGUAACCACCAUUUGUUCAAUGAACCAGAGAUACAAGCGCGCUACCGGCAACUGGUGACACGGAGUAAGGUUGCACGCCAGGACCAGUCCAUCAACUCAAUCAUUAAAUACGAAUUAUCGAGUGAUGAUGAAUAAUAUCCGUGUAGACAGGGUACUUGAAAACUCAAAUCUCUAGUCCAACAAUUGCUAAGUUUUCCUGAUUUUUGUGUGUUAAUUCAUUUUUAAAUCUCAAACACUGAAACAGUAAAGUACAAUAUGUUUUACAGUUGGUAAUUCUGUCAUGCACUAUAA